UGGAGGUGUCAAUCGACA
This 18-nucleotide non-coding RNA is filed under the name Arabidopsis thaliana (thale cress). The record is from RNAcentral. Lineage: Eukaryota; Viridiplantae; Streptophyta; Magnoliopsida; Brassicales; Brassicaceae.